Lolium perenne is the source of this 4210-nucleotide long non-coding RNA. RefSeq lists it as uncharacterized. The record is from RefSeq and is a predicted model, not a curated record. Lineage: Eukaryota; Viridiplantae; Streptophyta; Magnoliopsida; Poales; Poaceae.
CUAGCCUCCACCAAUUGCCACGCCCCCAAUCGCUCCCCAAUCCCCACUCCUCUGCCCGUCUCCUCCCCUUCCUCUCCCCUCGCGCCCCCAUCCCGCCGCCACCUCCAUCUCCUGCGCCUCUCUCCCGAUCACCUCCUGCGCGGGCGACGGGCGGCGCGGCCGACAUCGGCGCCAGCGACGAGGGCAGCGCGGGCGACCUCCGCAGGAGCCGACAUGGCGGGGCGGCUUGGGGAGGAGGAGGAGGAGGAGGUCAAGCGCGCAGAGGAGCGAGGGAGGACGCCGGCCGCCAGAGGAACGACCACGAUGAUGUCCAGUGGGAGGGCCGCAACGACCUGCUCUACUUCGACCUCGACCCCGAGCGAAGCGACGAGGUACUCGGUCCUCCUCCUGACCACGAGCACCAAACUGAGGUAGAAGAUUGCUCUUGUGUGGGGCUAGGUUGAAGGGGAGAUGAUGAUGUAUGGCUAGAUGGUGAAUCAGAGCACUCUUUGGUGCUGGAGAGUUCUGAAUAUCAACAGUUCUAAAGAUUUUCAAGAUAAGGGACACCUUGUGUCUCUGAGAUAUGGAGGUGUACAUGUAAGUCUAAUGCUGCUUGAGAUAUGACUUUUGAUGUUCGUGGUGUAACCAAGCAAAAGAAGUUGGUCAUAAAGAAGUGGAAUUUUGAUGCGCAAUGGGAGAGAAGGUGGCUGGGUCAAUGUAACCGUCAAAUGGAUUAAUCCCCUUUUGUGUUGUUUUUUAUUGCAAGAUCUGGAGCCGAAUAGAUUUUUGGGGCUAUGGUCGUGUUCAGAAAUCCUUCUCCUCCAGCCGUCUCUGCUCCCCAUUAGGUUUAUGUAGAACUACAAUCAUGUCUACUUACGAAAGAAAAGUGACCACUGCAGAAUUUUAUGGUAACCAGCCCAUGUCCAGUUCUACAACCAAAUGGGGAUACUAUGGUCGCUUGUGUUUAAGAACAGGAACCAUACUGAAAAGGUAGUUUGGUGGAGGAAUGGACACUGUCUGAUGCGGUGCUCCAAUCUCGAUGAGUACCAUGCUGACGACAACGACACCGACACCGACACCGCCAAUGACACCAUCAUGAUCCUUGGUGACACCUGAAUACGCGGAUGCAGAUUCUUACUAUUUAGCAAAAUCUUCAAUUGUUGACAGAGCGAGACUUGAGUGACACACUUGAGUCUGGAGAUGCCACCAUCGGUGAUUCUUUCCAUUGACAAAGAGCAGGGAAGGGUGUUGUCCACUUCAAUCUUCUAUUUUACUUGGACUGGUGGCUGACGCGGGAGAGAGCAGGUGGCGUUGGAGGAGGAAGAGGAGCAAGCCGAGGACGAGGCAAUCGCCUCGCCGUGGUAGCAGCCGGUGGCGUGUGCGCCCACAGAAAACCGCCGCUAUCAUCGUCCCUCGCCGCCCAACAACGACGCAGAGAGAUGGAGGAGGAGGUGGUCCUCGUCGCUCCUCGGUGCCCGGGCUUCUCCGCUGUGCACACUGCCGCCAUCCUCACCCUCAUGGAGCAUGAGAAGCCGCCAAAACCUACCGGAGGGAAACGCCUAGGUGAGGCUCCUCUACCACAUCCUAUGCGCGUGCCUCUUCAUGGGGCUCAAACCUGAAGGUCCUUCCUCAUCUUCUCUCUUUAUCUCCUUUUCUCUCUGUUUCUCUCUAUCAUGGGAUCCCCAUCUUCCUGCAGCAGCUCGGGAAGGAGGAAUACAAAUGUGCCUUGCUAGGUAAUAAUAUGUUCCCUGUGAUUUAGGAGGCAAAGGGAUCGGUAUACACCAGUUUGUCCACAUCAUUUAUAUGCUGGGCUCAUUCGUGCUAGAGCCAGCCGAAUGAGCUCAAAUGGGUAUGGCUUGGUUUUAAUACGAAGCGUGAACUCCUGUGAAAUUUUACUAUGAAACUGUAUAUGUCCUUAAAAUGCAAUAGAAUUUGCAUUCAUGUGAUUUUUUACUCAAAUAUUUGUUGGCUUUGCAGUUUUCUCUAUGAAUCAUGUACUCGAAUGGAAAACCGGAGGUUUCACAUUGUCUCCUUGCUUGCGAGGUACGUCUUCUUACUUCACCUAUGAUUGUUAGGUUGCAUUCCUAUUUGUUUCCUAUUUGUUCAUUUGUUGAUUCGAUUAUCUCCUGUUGAGGCACCAGGCCAUGGUGGCAUAUAUAUUAUGGUUAUGAAAAUCCCCAUACCUAUGAAUUUUAUAUCGUAAAUUUAAUUUAGAAUGGAUAAAAAGGUGACAUACCAGGUAUCGUUCAUAGGUUAGUUAUAAAGAAACGAAAAGAAAGCAAUCAUUAAUCCUUAUAUAUUCCUAUCCUUUUAUUCUUUUCCACCAUUCUCCCCUUUUAUUGUUCACGUUAUGCUGGAAGAAAACUUUUCAAUACAGAAUAGAUGAUUAUUAUGCAUAUUUUGGGCUUGAAGUUCUUUUGUUUUGCCAAACCUUGGUGCAUAUAUCCAUUGGUUUGGAUGUUCUCUAUACCUACAAUGUUUUGUCAUCUGACCUCUCUCGAGUCUUGACACAGUUCAUAUCACACUUCCAGUUCCAGUCAUGUAAAUUGGUAAGUACCAUUUGUAAAAUGUAUACAAUUUAUUUUUUCACCGAUCCUUCAAUUACUUCAUUUUUCAUAGCCGAGGACAUAUAAACUAUCUAGAAGCUCCAUUUAGUUUAAUCAUAUAAACUAACCGGAAGCUCCAUUUGAUUUAAUUAUACAUGUACGAUUUAGAGGAUUUCAGUGGCAACCUUGACCUACACAACUUGACACAUACCAAGACUUGAAGCCAACUAGAGUUAGAUUUUUGUGGGCACUUUGCUAAAUUGAUUAAGUUCCUUUGAUAAGAACUGAAGCAAUUCCAAGUCAGCAUUAGAAAUACCAGUCAGAUGAGUAACUAAAAUAAGCAAUAGAUCAAACUUCAUCGUCCUUUUAAGAUGGUAUCUUGCAUCUACAGAAUAAGUUGAGUCAGAGGGUAAUGCACUGGACGGGAUAGUGUGCACAUCAGUCCAAUGGCCCAUGUCAUUUUUUAACCUUCCAUUUGUUGAUCUCCUAUUCCGGAGUCAAAAUUACCACUCCAGGGAUGCCCUUGCAGCCAAAUGUUUAUUUAAUAAAUGAUGCGUGUAUUUUGUUUGGUUGACUGCGGUUGUUCAUGGUCUGUAGUUGUGCAUUGACCUUUCUGAUUCAAUGUAACAAUUCAACCAUGUACUUCUUAGUUUACAUCGUAAGGAAUUAUUAAGGCAGCUCUAGAGUUUGUCAUGCUCCAUCAUUUUGAAUUAUAUACUGUCAGUCUUCAGCUCAUGUGUUUACAGAAGAAGAACAACCAUAGGUCCUUUAUGUUCUUCAGUAAGUAUAUUGAUCUAUCUUCCUACAUAUUUUUUUAGUGAAUCAUUGCUGCAUAAUACUGGCAACAUAUAUGGUUUGUAUGAACUGAUAAAAGAUUGUGAAAUUAUCUUUCUGCUCUAGGUUAGUGUCUCAGUGAACUGCACAUUAGUGUGUCGUGGAAGAGCAAUGUGCUUUGCUCUAAAUUUGUACGGCUGAUGCUAUGUGAAAUAUAUUUCUCUACAUUCUAUAUGUCUACUUAUUUUCUGAGUACUCUACUUAUUUUCCAUGUUAUAUUAAUGAUGUUUAAGUGUUUUACCAUCCAUUUAUGAGCUGAUAAUUUUUCCGUGUAUCCAGUAAACUGAAACGGACAAGUGUUUGUGCUUCAUUUGAUGUUUCCUUAUCAGUAUGCUUAAUGUAGUGUUUUCUUAUCAUCAUAUUUAAUGUAGUAGUGUUUUGUUAUCAUCAUAUUUAACGUAGGUACUUAGUCCAAGGGAGUUUCCAAAAUUUUGUCAAGUUAGCUUGCCACUACGAACACCGGAACUCACUCUGUGAACGUGCAAUGGUGCUUCUUUGGAAACCUCAUAUUAGCAAUGUCACUGGCUUCUUAUCUGAUUGCUGCAAGAAGGCUCUUUUUAUAGUGUCAUGUUGUUUCUAGGGAAAAUCUGAGCAUACUCUUCACAACAUAUAGAGGAAAUGGCUGUUGCAUGGUCUAAGGGAAUUGACCCUGGUGAAAUUUUUAUUUCGUGUAGAUGACAUGCUUGCUGAAAUUAUAAUUUUUUUUCACCGGUCGGUGAGAGUCUAUACAUUUAAAACAGACCAGUUCACCAUUUUUUCCCAUCAUUUUACAAAACAAUAGUACAAGUGAAUUAGUGUAAGCUACUUUGUCUUAGAACAAGGCUAUUUCUACUGUAAUAAAUUUCUCUGUU